GAGUAGCUGGGAUUACAGGUGUCUGCCACCAUGUACAGCUAAUUUUAUAUUUUUAGUAGACACGGGGUUUCUCCAUGUUGGUCAGGCUGGUCUUAAAUUCCCAACCUCAGGUGAUCUGCCCACCUCAGUCUCCCAAAGUGCUGAGAUUACAGGCAUGAGCCACUGCGCCUGGCCUAUGAAAUUCAGAUUCUAAUGGGGGUAAGGGGAUCAAAACAAAAGUAAACAGACAAAAUUGUUACAAAUAGUAGGGACCAUGGCAAUACCUCUUUCAUUGGUUUGCUGUGGGGAAUAAAUGAGAUAACACAUGUCAAGGCCUUAGUGCAAAAACUGGUCCCUAGUCCAUGCUUGAUUAACUCCAAGUAUUAUAAUUUUUGUUAUAAUCCCACCCCAGGAAGAACCAUCUUUCCAGCAUUAAAAAGUAGCAUACUGCUGACAAAAUGAUGUACCCCCAGCAUUUAUUUACUGUCUCAAGUGCCAGCAACUCCCUCCCUUCAGUUCAUGUGGUACUGUCAUUUCCAACAUCCAAUGAUAACCACCACCCCACCUGGGCAGAGAGAUAAGAGGUAACCCAAGUCCAGCCUGUUAGAAUCCCCACUAUCUGCAGAGAUUGGUCUAACUAGGAACAUGGCCCAAACAGAGCAAGAGUAACUGUCCUUCCCAGGGAUUGAUCUACAGGGUUGUGGCUACAGACACUCCUCCUCCUAUGGGAAUCACUGAAUAGGUGCAUUGUGAGUCUGGGGGUGCAGGUGAGCAUCUUUCCUACCAAGGGAAGGAAAUCCAUCUGCAGUUGAUUGAAAUGAAAAGAGAAGAACAACUAAAUGAUGAAAAAGGCAAAAGGCAGAAACAAGAGGGAAGACUUCAAAUUAACCCCAGGAUUGAAUCAUGCUAGAAGCCAGAUCCACGCCUGGACUUCCCAAUAAUAUAAGCGAUUGAUUUCACUUUGGCUUAAGCUAGUCUGAGUUGGGUUUGUCUUGUGCAAGUAAAAGAACUCUCCCAGAUACCAUGAUGUACACAUAGGUACCUAUGUAUGACCUCUCCCCAAAUUCAAAACAUAUCCAGGCAGUUUAACAGUACUUACAUCUGAUUGAUAUUUGAGUUAGGGAAAAAAAAGUAUCAACCUUAUUCACUAAUUUUAACUUUUUACAAUAAGC
This 1151-nucleotide long non-coding RNA is filed under the name Macaca mulatta (Rhesus monkey). RNAcentral describes it as "lncRNA (ENSMMUG00000060348.1)". The record is from RNAcentral. Lineage: Eukaryota; Metazoa; Chordata; Mammalia; Primates; Cercopithecidae.